Molecule: ribosomal RNA, 421 nt
Filed under: Fusobacteriota bacterium
Lineage: Bacteria; Fusobacteriati; Fusobacteriota
Description: Fusobacteria bacterium partial 16S ribosomal RNA
Rfam family: Bacterial small subunit ribosomal RNA
Source: RNAcentral
UGGGGAAUUUUGCACAAUGGGGGGAACCUUGAUGCAGCGACGCCGCGUGAGGGAUGGAGGCCUUCGGGUUGUGAACCUCUUUCGCUCGUGUGCAAGCCGCUAUUUGGGUAGUGGUGAGUGUAGCGGGUAAAGAAGCGCCGGCUAACUACGUGCCAGCAGCCGUGGUAAUACGUAGGGCGCGAGCGUUGUCCGGAUUUAUUGGGCGUAAAGGGCUUGUAGGCGGUUUGUCGCGCCUGUCGUGUAAUCCUCUGGCUUAACUGGGGGUGUGCGGUGGGUACGGGCAAGCUUGAGUGCGGUAGGGGAGAUUGGAAUUCCUGGUGUAGCGGUGGAAUGCGCAGAUAUCAGGAGGAACACCGGUGGCGAAGGCGGGUCUCUGGGCCGUUACUGACGCUGAGGAGCGAAAGCGUGGGGAGCGAACAGG